This 397-nucleotide ribosomal RNA is filed under the name uncultured bacterium. RNAcentral's name for it is "bacterial SSU rRNA". It matches the Rfam family "Bacterial small subunit ribosomal RNA", at positions 29 to 431 of the family's 1533-position model. The record is from RNAcentral.
AUUGAACGCUGGCGGCAUGCCUAACACAUGCAAGUCGAACGGUAACGCGGGGGCAACCCUGGCGACGAGUGGCGGACGGGUGAGUAAUACGUAGGAAUCUGCCCAAUUGUGGGGGACAACCCGGGGAAACCCGGGCUAAUACCGCAUACGCUCUACGGAGGAAAGCGGGGGAUCGUAAGACCUCGCGCUAUUGGAUGAGCCUACGUCGGAUUAGCUAGUUGGUAGGUAACGGCCUACCAAGGCGACGAUCCGUAGCUGGUCUGAGAGGACGAUCAGCCACACUGGGACUGAGACACGGCCCAGACUCCUACGGGAGGCAGCAGUGGGGAUAUUGGACAAUGGCGAAGCCUGAUCCAGCCAUGCCGCGUGAGUGAUGAAGGCCCUAGGGUUGUAAAGC